This 195-nucleotide unclassified non-coding RNA is filed under the name rhizosphere metagenome. RNAcentral describes it as "partial ribosomal RNA internal transcribed spacer region". The record is from RNAcentral.
GUAGGUGAACCUGCGGAAGGAUCAUUAUCGUGGGGCUCCGGCCCUAUCGAGAUAGAACCCUUGCCUUUUUUGUACCGUCCGUUUCCUCGGCAGGCUCGCCUGCCAAUGGGGACCCCAAUAAACUCUUUUUUUACCUGUAUCAGUCUGAAAAAUAAACAAAAGUUAAAACUUUCAACAACGGAUCUCUUGGUUCUG